This is a long non-coding RNA of Corythoichthys intestinalis (scribbled pipefish), 2046 nucleotides long. RefSeq lists it as uncharacterized. The transcript is spliced from 3 exons. NCBI's taxonomy places the organism in Eukaryota, Metazoa, Chordata, Actinopteri, Syngnathiformes, Syngnathidae. The record is from RefSeq and is a predicted model, not a curated record.
AUGAACAUGUGCUUGCAUUGUGCAGGCCUGUAUUCUUCUCCGUGCAAAAUAUUGUUGUUGUUGUCUAUUUUAUUUUUUGCUUUAGUGGAACUCACUUGUUCUUGAAGUCUUCCACCAGGCCUUGCAUGUUGUGAAGGUCAGCUUCCAGCUUCAUCUUGUCGUUGCCCAGGCUGUCAAGCUGUCUGCGCAGGUUGGUGAUGUAGGCCUCAAACAUGGCGUCAAUGUUUGAACGCGUGGUGGUCUGGCCCUGCAGCAGGUUCCACUUGGUCUCGAGCAUUUUGUUCUGCUGCUCCAGGAAACGCACCUGAGGAAAAAGAAAACGAUAAGACACAGCCACACUAACCUGUGUGGAUUCGACAGUAUGCUAUGUGUCAGCUUAAUGUUUACCUGAAAAGAGAGCUGGACACCCACACCUACAAGGAAGCAGUCACAAUUAAUAGGCUGUGACCUCCCAAGACCCGCCCUGAGUUCUUCUCCUUCCUCCCCCAGUUCCUCGCCACGAUGAGUCAUGUCUCUUAUGAACCAGUCCAAGACCCAACACCAUAAGCUCUUUCCUCCAUCUUUUUUCUUUUUCUAUCAUUCCACUUUCCCGCCAUUGGCCCUCGGCCGGCAUCAUCGUCAUGGAAAUAUACCAAAAUACAACUCCCAUCCUCCCUGAACCACAGCGGAUGCCAGCGAGAGCAGAGGCAUUCGACACAGGCCUGCGAAAGCAAAGAGGGAUCUGAGCCAUAGCCCGAAAACAUGUACCAUGUGACUGGAGAAAAAAAACAAAAAUCUUGAAAGUGAUUAUAAAAGAGUAAUGCUGUGACAAUCACAUGACUGCAGUGCAACCAUUGUAAUUGUAAGUAAACAUUAGGUUAUCAAUCAUUGGGGGAGGGGUUCCAAAUUUACAAACAGAAACAUUUGUUUCACAGGUCACAGUGCUUGGAAGAAUUUCACUGACUCAACAGGGAUUUAUGAAUCACAAUGUACCGUAGUCAAAUGUGGACUCCCAUAUUUUGAGGUAAAUGCUGCUUCAUGGUUCACAGCAGCCAUACAGUAUCAGCAUUUUUUUUUUUUUUUUCUCCUUAAUGAAUUGGUAAGCAACAUUGAACAAGCAGUUUUUUAACCUUAGCAGUGGUUGCUUUGCUGAGUGAAAAUGUAGAGGAAUGUAAGAAAUAUAAUUAUGGGAAAAAAAGAUUCAUUGAUUAUUCAAAAAAAGCCUCUAAAGCGAUAGUAAUAUUAUUGUUUGAAAGUGUUUUUAAAAUGUGUUAUGAUGGCAAUACUUGGACAAGUAUUUUGUUCAAUCUGUUAGGUUUCACCAUAUCAGUUUCCAACCCCCCCCCCCCCAAUCAAAAUAGCUUGUUGUACAUAUUUCAGAAGGUUUCUCAACACUGUACACAUAGCGAGGAAAAACUGGCUCCUAUCAAUGCCAUUGUUAGACAAGGUAUGGGUCACAUCACACUGUAGUUAUUCGCAGCAAUAACACUUGUUAAGUGUGCAGAGGUUAGACCUCAUUCCUCUUUAAGGAAGACACUCAGAGUUCGAACACCCCCAAAGUCGUUCUAGUGGCAAUUCAACCGACAAUUUUGCUGGUAAAUUUGAUUUGAUAAAAUCAAUGGCAGAUGUUGAAAGUUGCCACUGUUGCCCAUUGCAACAUUCACACAUUCGUCUGUAUGAGUGUGUAUCAUCUGUCUAAUCACAUGCAUGGGGCUAAGGUUUCUUGUGACCGGAAACAAGGCAGGUAUCUGGAAUUUACCACACCAAACAUGAGUAGAUACACACACACAAGAUGGACCUUUACCCUAAAAUCCAUAAACAUCCCAGAUCUCACUCAGCUCAUCAGUAUGUUGCAAGCUCCAUUCUGUGGGAGUGCGUAUCAGACACCAUGUGCUUAUGGGUGUAGCCAGUCUCAACCUCUAAAUGGUGAAAGAGUAUGUAAAGAGUAUUAAUACCACUCAAAUGUGAUGGGUGCUGAGGUCAGACUUCUUGUGAUAUGCCACAUUAUUUUUCACAAGACUUAAGAGAAAAAAUGAAGGUCAUUUUUAAGAAAAAAAUAUAAAUAAU